CAUAGCGACUAUCGUGGCAUAUCAAUAAGCGGAGGAAAAGAAACUAACAAGGAUUCCCCUAGUAACGGCGAGUGAAGCGGGAAGAGCUCAAAUUUGAAAUCUUCAAGGUUUGACCUUGACGAAUUGUAGUUUAAAGAAGUGUUUUCGGUUAGAGGAGUAGUAAAAGUUCUUUGGAAUAGGACAUCAUAGAGGGUGAGAAUCCCGUAUUUGACUAUUCUUUCUAGCUUUGUGAUACACUUUCAAAGAGUCGGAUUGUUUGGGAAUGCAGUCCAAAAUGGGUGGUAAAUUUCAUCUAAAGCUAAAUAUUGGCGAGAGACCGGUAGCGAACAAGUACCGUGAGGGAAAGAUGAAAAGAACUUUGAAAAGAGAGUUAAACAGUACGUGAAAUUGUCAAAAGGGAAGCGUUUGACACCAGUGUUGUUUUUCCGAAAAUCAAUUAAAAAUUGAUUCAUGCCAGGUUGUAUUGACCUUAUCAGCUUGCAAUUUGGUUUUGGGUCUCUUUUUGAUGCACUUUUCGGUUAACAAGUCAACAUCAAUUUCCUUUGCUGUGAAAAAGGUAAGAGGAAGGUGGCUUCAAUUUCGGUUGAAGUGUUUAUAGCCUUUUAUCUCUGCAGUCGGGGAGAUUGAGGUCUGCAGCGUAGAUCCUUCGGGGCUAGAUACAUUUAUGCUAAGUUAUGGCUUUUCAUAGACAACUUGUUGACUAUGUUUAGUCAUGUAGCUUACUCGUAAGUGCUAUUUUACCUACGCUUAGGAUGUUGACGCGCGUGUGUGCGUG
Molecule: ribosomal RNA, 775 nt
Filed under: uncultured Neocallimastigales
Lineage: Eukaryota; Fungi; Neocallimastigomycota; Neocallimastigomycetes; Neocallimastigales
Description: partial large subunit ribosomal RNA
Rfam family: Eukaryotic large subunit ribosomal RNA
Source: RNAcentral